CAGCAGUAGCCGCGGUAAUACGUAGGUGGCAAGCGUUGUCCGGAAUUAUUGGGCGUAAAGGGCUCGCAGGCGGUUUCUUAAGUCUGAUGUGAAAGCCCCCGGCUCAACCGGGGAGGGUCAUUGGAAACUGGGAAACUUGAGUGCAGAAGAGGAGAGUGGAAUUCCACGCGUAGCGGUGAAAUGCGUAGAGAUGUGGAGGAACACCAGUGGCGAAGGCGACUCUCUGGUCUGCAACUGACGCUGAGGAGCGAAAGCGUGGGGAGCGAACAGGAUUAGAUACCCCCGUAGUCCCUGUCUCUUAUAC
RNAcentral lists this ribosomal RNA (304 nucleotides) under uncultured bacterium. RNAcentral describes it as "partial 16S ribosomal RNA". It matches the Rfam family "Bacterial small subunit ribosomal RNA", at positions 506 to 807 of the family's 1533-position model. The record is from RNAcentral.